Molecule: unclassified non-coding RNA, 339 nt
Filed under: Diabrotica virgifera virgifera (western corn rootworm)
Lineage: Eukaryota; Metazoa; Arthropoda; Insecta; Coleoptera; Chrysomelidae
Description: tRNA (guanine(37)-N1)-methyltransferase
Source: RNAcentral
AUUGUUUAAAAGCAACACGAUUUAAAUUUUUGUAACUGAUUUAAAUAUCUAGUUAAUUUUAUGUGUACCAACAAAUUGCAAUAUAUUAAAAUAUUUAUUACACUGACAAAGGGUGACAUUUAAGUAAUAAUAGUAGUUCUUAUGAACAUUUUAAUAAAAGAAGAAUAUAAUUUUAGGUUAUGUUUUGAUUAUGCCAUGUGUUGAUUUUUAAAUGAAACCAGGGGAAGAGGAAAUUGGAGGAAGACUGGAAUCAAGAUACAAAAAGAAACUGUGUAAAAGAUAAAUGUCAAGAAUAAAAGCAAAAUAGCCGAAAUAGACAAUGCUUUAAAGAGCCUGGAG